This 18-nucleotide unclassified non-coding RNA is filed under the name Chlamydomonas reinhardtii. RNAcentral's name for it is "small RNA Cre_1650". The record is from RNAcentral. Lineage: Eukaryota; Viridiplantae; Chlorophyta; Chlorophyceae; Chlamydomonadales; Chlamydomonadaceae.
GAUUGUGCCCCGCGGCGC